This 202-nucleotide microRNA precursor is filed under the name Citrus reticulata (mandarin orange). RNAcentral's name for it is "miR166a stem-loop (crt-MIR166a)". Its record names the gene crt-MIR166a. The stretch from base 49 to 186 matches the Rfam family "mir-166 microRNA precursor family". Rfam says of the family: This family represents the plant microRNA (miRNA) precursor mir-166. Animal miRNAs are transcribed as ~70nt precursors and subsequently processed by the Dicer enzyme to give a ~22nt product. The record is from miRBase by way of RNAcentral. Lineage: Eukaryota; Viridiplantae; Streptophyta; Magnoliopsida; Sapindales; Rutaceae.
UUCCCUUCAGAAUCAAAUUCAUUGUUUGAUUUUUUUUGAGAGGUUAUGGUUGAUGGGAAUGUUGUUUGGCUCGAGGGUCAUCUAGGUUUUCAAAAUUUUCUCGGACUUUCUUUCUUGCUUUUAUUUUUCCAGGAAAAUUAUGUUAUUUGCCUAUGUGAUCUCGGACCAGGCUUCAUUCCCGUCAACCGACGGUUUCUCUCUU